This 790-nucleotide ribosomal RNA is filed under the name uncultured archaeon. Its description in RNAcentral is "bacterial SSU rRNA". It matches the Rfam family "Archaeal small subunit ribosomal RNA", at positions 85 to 879 of the family's 1478-position model. The record is from RNAcentral.
ACGGCUCAGUAACACGUCGGUAACCUGCCCUAAGGUCAGGGAUAACCUCGCGAAAGUGAGGGUAACACCUGAUAGGGAAAUUCAACUGGAAUGAGUUUUUCCCAGAAACUCGUGCCUUAGGAUGGGCCGGCGGCGGAUUAGGCUGUUGGCGGUGUAAUGGACCACCAAACCGAAGAUCCGUACGGGCCAUGAGAGUGGGAGCCCGGAGAGGGACACUGAGAUACUGGUCCCAGCCCUACGGGGUGCAGCAGGCGCGAAACCUUUUCAAUGCGCGCAAGCGUGAGAAGGGAAUUCCAAGUGCUCAAGUUUUACUUGGGCUUUUGCCAAGUGUAAAAAGCCUGGCGAAUAAGAGGUGGGCAAGACUGGUGCCAGCCGCCGCGGUAACACCAGCGCCUCGAGUGGGGAUCGCGAUUAUUGGGUCUAAAGCGUCCGUAGCAGGCCUUGUAAAUGCUUUGUGAAAUCGGCAGGCUUAACCUGUCGGCGUGCAGAGUAAACUGCAGGGCUUGAGACCGGGAGAGGUUAGAAGUAUUCCUUGGGUACCGGUAAAAUGGGUUAAUCCAGGGAGGACUACCAAUGGCGAAGGCAUCUAACCAGAACGGUUCUGACUGUGAGGGACGAAAGCUAGGGGAGCAAAACGGAUUAGAUACCCGAGUAGUCCUAGCCGUAAACGCUGUGAGCAAGGUAUUGCGCCUCCCACGAGGAUGCGCAGUGUCGAAAUGAAGAUGUUAAGCUCACCACCAGGGAAGUACGGUCGCAAGGCUGAAACUUUAAGGAAUUGGCGGGGGAGCAC